RNAcentral lists this ribosomal RNA (253 nucleotides) under uncultured bacterium. Its description in RNAcentral is "partial 16S ribosomal RNA". It matches the Rfam family "Bacterial small subunit ribosomal RNA", at positions 524 to 776 of the family's 1533-position model. The record is from RNAcentral.
UACAGAGGGUGCGAGCGUUAAUCGGAAUUACUGGGCGUAAAGCGCGCGUAGGCGGCUUUGCAAGUCGGGUGUGAAAUCCCCAGGCUUAACCUGGGAACUGCAUUCGAGACUGCAUUGCUAGAGUAUGGGAGAGGGAAGUGGAAUUUCCGGUGUAGCGGUGAAAUGCGUAGAUAUCGGAAGGAACAUCAGUGGCGAAAGCGACCACCUGGACUGAUACUGACACUGAGGUGCGAAAGCGUGGGGAGCAAACAGG